UCUGUGGUCUGGAAGUUUUAGUAGAUGUGUUCACUGUAGUUUGUUUGUUGGCUAAUUAUUGUCACAUUAGUUUGGAAUGUCUGAAACUCAGUUUCUGUGAGAAGGUCAACCUGGAUGUGGUUAAAAAGCUUUGCAAAAACUGCAGACGAUUGAAGAUUCUCCGUCUCUAUGGUUGUGCCUUCACACGUGACCUGAGCAAAAUACAAGAAGCUUACGAAGCAGUCAAAGUAUUUCAUGAAAUUUCUGCCCCUACUUGCUAAUAUUUCUAGGAAAAUAGAAUUGCUACCAACAAAGGCUUUGAACCUACACUUAGUUAAAUAUGCCCAGAAAUUUUCCCAUUUAAGUGAGAUAUGAAUUGUUUUUUUAUUUAAACAGAAAUAAUCAAGAAAUAAUUGCAUGUUAAAUUUCAACAUCAUAUUGACACAUUUUUGUUAUGCCAAACACCCCCCUGAAA
Long non-coding RNA from Choloepus didactylus (southern two-toed sloth), 454 nucleotides. RefSeq lists it as uncharacterized. The record is from RefSeq and is a predicted model, not a curated record. The transcript has 3 exons. Lineage: Eukaryota; Metazoa; Chordata; Mammalia; Pilosa; Megalonychidae.